UACGGGGGGUGCAAACGUUGCUCGGAAUCAUUGGGCGUAAAGCGCACGUAGGCGGUCCCUUAAGUCGGGUGUGAAAGCCCUCGGCUUAACCGAGGAAGUGCAUUCGAAACUGGGGGACUUGAAUACUGGAGAGGAUGGCGGAAUUCCCGGUGUAGAGGUGAAAUUCGUAGAUAUCGGGAGGAACACCAGCGGCGAAGGCGGCCAUCUGGACAGAUAUUGACGCUGAGGUGCGAAAGCGUGGGGAGCAAAC
Molecule: ribosomal RNA, 250 nt
Filed under: uncultured bacterium
Lineage: Bacteria
Description: partial 16S ribosomal RNA
Rfam family: Bacterial small subunit ribosomal RNA
Source: RNAcentral